This 484-nucleotide ribosomal RNA is filed under the name uncultured bacterium. Its description in RNAcentral is "bacterial SSU rRNA". It matches the Rfam family "Bacterial small subunit ribosomal RNA", at positions 28 to 524 of the family's 1533-position model. The record is from RNAcentral.
GAUGAACGCUGGCGGCGUGCCUAAUACAUGCAAGUCGAGCGAACCACUUCGGUGGUGAGCGGCGAACGGGUGAGUAACACGUAGGUGAUCUGCCCAUCAGACGGGGACAACGAUUGGAAACGAUCGCUAAUACCGGAUAGGACGAAAGUUUAAAGGUGCUUCUGGCACCGCUGAUGGAUGAGCCUGCGGCGCAUUAGCUAGUUGGUAGGGUAAAGGCCUACCAAGGCGACGAUGCGUAGCCGACCUGAGAGGGUGAACGGCCACACUGGGACUGAGACACGGCCCAGACUCCUACGGGAGGCAGCAGUAGGGAAUCUUCGGCAAUGGGCGAGAGCCUGACCGAGCAACGCCGCGUGAAUGAUGAAGGCCUUCGGGUUGUAAAAUUCUGUUAUAAGGGAAGAACGACUUUAGUAGGAAAUGGCUAGAGUGUGACGGUACCUUAUGAGAAAGCCACGGCUAACUACGUGCCAGCAGCCGCGGUAAU